UGGCGCUGCCGUCGGCCUCAUGACAGCAUCUCCUGGAAGCUCAGAGGACGGGACUCGUCUCUGUGGCCUCCGGCUCGCAACAGUGCACCUCGGGGACUUUCCAUAAACUCACAGGUCACAAAGUGGCAUCACGGAGCGGCUCUCAAAGCCGAGGGAUGUGACGCCGAUCAGGGGGGCUGACACGCCACGUUCUCCUUGGGGACGCCAAGCAGGCGCAGCUGACACGCAUGCCGGGUCUGCCGACUCCCCACAAAGGGCAUGGAGACCUUGGGGUGAGGGCAGGGCCCCAGGAACAGUCCCCACAGCAGCCGCACCCCAGUGUCUCGGCAAAGGCAUCCCUGCAACAUCUCAGGAAUGCGCCGCACACGUCCCCUUCCACUCGCAAACCUCCAUGACACCGGACAGCCACGUGCAAGAACAGGACCUCCGAGGGAUGUGGCCACGCCUGACCACGGAGAGGGCCACGUCUUUCCUGGCAGCGAGAACACUCCGCUGGAAGCUGAGGCGCCCUUGCUGGGCCCCGCCAGCCCAGCUACAGACCCCAGGACCCCUGCGGUGGAGCGGCCCCAGGCCCGAGACCGGCUGACACUGAGGACUCCAGGACCCUCUCCAGGACGUGCACCCAAGGUGGCUCUGAGCACCAGCCAGCUUGGCAACCAGUCACCAGCCACGGCCACCCCAUCCGCGCUCACAGUUGAAGGACGUGCUCCCUGGGUGACAGCUCAGGACCCCCAGGGUGUCUGCUGCCCCGAGAUGCCGACAGCAGCCAACAGUCCCGUGCCAAACAUCUGGAGGGACCCGAGCACCACCAUAGUGGCCGUGGUGAGACGAGUGCGGCCCCGGGCUUCUGCGCUGCCGACCCCGCUCUCUCCUGCCACGUGCGGCGUGCGAGUGCCAGCGCUCCCUGGAACCUGUCACCACGAGCGUGUACCAGUUCAUCUCAAACAAAAUGUAAAGGCAGAAACCCAGGCUCUCAUUCCGGAGGGCAGAGACUGCACCCCUCACCCCACCACUGCCCGGGCAGGCCCCGCCCGGUGCAGCCCUAGGGAGCUGCCUCAGUUUCUCCCUCCACUGUCCCCAGCCAGCGUGACGGAGACGUGCUCACGGCAGCCAUGUUCUUGCUUCCUGCGGGCGUUUUACAGACGCCCCACACCACAGCUGAUGUCAUCGGAGCAGGGCAGCCCACGCUGGAACACAGGCCACCAGAGAGAGAGCACACGGACGCAGAGCAGAGGAGGUCUUUGUGAAAAGACAGCUCUGCAGGGACGGUGGGAGGACAUACGUCCCAGCUGCUCAGAGGCCGGGCCAGAUCCCUCGAGCCAGGAGUCUCUGCCUGGCAGCAGAGACGGCCCGUAGAGAACAGGGACAGCGCAGCUGGCCACGACGGACCAAGAGGACCCGCGUGCUUGGGGACGGGUGUCGUGUGACGUCGGGGACACAGUGAGGCUUCCCAGGACCUGUCCAAGCCUUCACACCCAUGGACACGCUGACCUCCUACUGGACACGCUGUCACCAGCUCUGCCUGUAUCUGGGCAGACGCCGCACGCCUGGCCUGGGUUUCCUGCCAACUCCGUGUGACAACAGCGGUCGGCCCCUCCCCACGCCCUCGGAGCAAGUGCAGCCUGGCCUCUCCCUGAGCCCCGGGGGCUUCGGAGCUAGGACACAAACUCGGAGUCAGAGCACAGGAUCCUAAACCCCUUCCCACAAGCUCGAGAUUCUGGUGGUUCCAUGAUAUUUAUACAGGUUGGCAACUAAUAUUAUUCAGAGUAAUUUCUGCACAGAAAUCACUGUAGUGAAAUACUCUGAAGUAGCUGAGGCUCUGCUGCUUGGGAAGAGGGUGGAAGUUACUCCUUUCUGUUACUCCUUUCUACCCCAGAGCCGCACACCCCACAGAAAGCCCCUGUUUCUAUAUUCACAAAAGCCAACAACAGAGCUCUAAGUUUCUGAGUGAAGACUCAAACACGUUUGGCCACCCCUGCCUAGAAAUCUCCGGACUGGAUGUGGAACCCUGGAGCACAGCCCCACCAGCAUAUGUCUGGGCCUGUGGCCUGCGGGUGUGUCCUAGGCUCAGGCCGCUCAGGACAUUCUCUCAACGACAGGCCCAAUCCAGUGCUCACCUGACCCACAUCCGGAUGCUGCUGUCAGCAUGGACAGGUUGGGGCCUCAAUGGUCUCAUGUCAUGCGUGUGGGCGCCAGGUUCGCCUACAGGGCUCACGCAGCACAUGGAAAUGGUUUGUGCUCUGUUUUACAUGAAGAAAGUCUUUUUUUUUUCCUGGAAUAUUGUUGGGUACAAACAUUUUGCUUACACAUGAUGCCUUUGCCUUGCCCAGGCCAGGGCUGCAAGCGGGCCCCUUCCCGCAAGGGUCGGGAGGCCUGGCGCCACCGUGGCAGCGUGGAGUGAAGGGGGAGGCGGGAAUAUUGCAUCUUGGGAGUCCGAGGUGGGCUGUGCCCACCAAUACCUACUGAGGGCGAUUUCCUUAACGCCAGGAGUCGCUCAGGUGCCAGUGGCCCCGACACGCAGGAUUUGCGUCAGGGCUCCUGAGUGCACCUGGCAGGAGGCCGGGCGUCCACAGGCCACCGGACAGCGUUAGAGAGGGAUGUCGGGUAUGGCCACUCUGGUGUCUGGGCCACAGAGCACCCCAGGGGAGGGGCAGACAUCGGAGUGACAGGCGCCUUCCGGGUGGGAGUGACAUGUACGUGGGAUGCCAAAUGUGCUCAGGGUCGGCUGUGCCUGGUGCCCGGAAGCUCUGGAGGCUCAAGACGUCUGGGACCCCAGGGACGGGAGGCGAGGGGAGAGCUCAGGCAGGGAUGGGGGCGCAGCUGGAGCCACAGUCCUGGCCGCCACCCCGCCCGCCCUGCAGCGCUGCCCUCCCUCGCCCCGUCCCAGGGACCCUCUCAUCCACCAGACUCACCAGUGGAAGGCGCAAGGAGGGAGCUGGGGUGUCGCCUGCCCUCUUCCCGCCGGGCCCCUCCUGCCCACCUCGCCAGCUCCAUUAGGGUCCCCACCCGCUUCCUCCGGCCUGGGGACGGGGUGGCUUCCAGCAGGUGCCGGCCCUCCAGCUGGCCAGUCACCCACCACCCUCUGCCCAGGUGAGGCCUGUGUGCGGCAGUCAGGUCCUUGCCAGGCACAGGGAAGAUCCCUCCUCUGCUGGUGAGAAGAAGGCGUGGAUGGUGGGCGCCGGGCGCAGACGGAUGAUGUACAGAGCCAGGAAGGGACGUGUUUUCCACGGCAGGGGCACAGCCGGGGUGCGGGACCAGGGGAAGGCGGGACUGCAGGUGGGUGAGGGAUGCAGCCAUGUUGCAGGGCAGGCCAGCGGAGCCCCUGCGGGGAGCGUGGGCACAGCUGUUGGCAGGGCUGGGACAAUGGCCUGGAGGGAAGGCGUGGGGACACGAGGGGCCUGCGUGUCUGUGGCUGGGAGGA
This is a non-coding RNA of Microcebus murinus (gray mouse lemur), 3421 nucleotides long. Lineage: Eukaryota; Metazoa; Chordata; Mammalia; Primates; Cheirogaleidae. The record is from RefSeq and is a predicted model, not a curated record.